This 89-nucleotide small nucleolar RNA is filed under the name Olea europaea subsp. europaea. Its description in RNAcentral is "Small nucleolar RNA snoR8a". It matches the Rfam family "Small nucleolar RNA snoR8a". Lineage: Eukaryota; Viridiplantae; Streptophyta; Magnoliopsida; Lamiales; Oleaceae. The record is from Rfam by way of RNAcentral.
UGGGUAGCGAUGAUUAUACUAAUUCCUCCAACUGAUUGUUGUUGCCACGGCGUGAGAAACCAUUUUACACCCACAGAAUAUGAGCUUCC